This 498-nucleotide ribosomal RNA is filed under the name uncultured bacterium. Its description in RNAcentral is "partial 16S ribosomal RNA". It matches the Rfam family "Bacterial small subunit ribosomal RNA", at positions 28 to 507 of the family's 1533-position model. The record is from RNAcentral.
GACGAACGCUGGCGGCGUGCCUAAUACAUGCAAGUCGAACGAGAGCGACCGGUGCUUGCACUGGUCACUCUAGUGGCGCACGGGUGAGUAACACGUGGGUAACCUGCCCAUCAGAGGGGGAUAACAUCCGGAAACGGAUGCUAAAACCGCAUAGGUCUUCGAACCGCAUGGUUUGAAGAGGAAAAGAGGCGCAAGCUUCUGCUGAUGGAUGGACCCGCGGUGCAUUAGCUAGUUGGUGAGGUAACGACUCACCAAGGCCGUGAUGCAUAGCCGACCUGAGAGGGUGAUCGGCCACAUUGGGACUGAGACACGGCCCAAACUCCUACGGGAGGCAGCAGUAGGGAAUCUUCCGCAAUGGACGGAAGUCUGACGGAGCAACGCCGCGUGAGCGAAGAAGGUUUUCGGAUCGUAAAACUCUGUUGUUAGAGAAGAACAAGUGCUAGAGUAACUGUUAGCGCCUUGACGGUAUCUAACCAGAAAGCCACGGCUAACUACGUG